CGCGAUCUUGAGCUCGUAUUUCGUGGGUUUGAGCUCGGAGAGGAGUAUUCGGAUGAUUCAAAGUUUUCGGAGCUAGGGCUUGCUUGGUUGGGCUUGGAUUUCGUUCUUCGACUUCGAGGUGUGAACCCGGAGCAGUAGCAUGGAGCGAAGUGCAUGCAUUCAAGUGCAUAUUUUCGAAAGAAGUGGCAAAAGAGACUCAAGGACUUUUGAUAAAACAUGUUUUGGGAA
Rhododendron vialii is the source of this 228-nucleotide long non-coding RNA. RefSeq lists it as uncharacterized. The record is from RefSeq and is a predicted model, not a curated record. The transcript is spliced from 2 exons. NCBI's taxonomy places the organism in Eukaryota, Viridiplantae, Streptophyta, Magnoliopsida, Ericales, Ericaceae.